CCUACGGGAGGCAGCAGUGGGGAAUAUUGCACAAUGGGGGAAACCCUGAUGCAGCGACGCCGCGUGAGUGAUGAAGUAUUUCGGUAUGUAAAGCUCUAUCAGCAGGGAAGAAAAUGACGGUACCUGACUAAGAAGCCCCGGCUAACUACGUGCCAGCAGCCGCGGUAAUACGUAGGGGGCAAGCGUUAUCCGGAUUUACUGGGUGUAAAGGGAGCGUAGACGGAAUAGCAAGUCUGAUGUGAAAACCCGGGGCUCAACUCCGGGAGUGCAUUGGAAACUGUUGAUCUAGAGUGUCGGAGAGGCAAGCGGAAUGCCUAGUGUAGCGGUGAAAUGCGUAGAUAUCAGGAGGAACAUCGGUGGCGAAAGCGCUUUACUGGACCAUUAUUGACGCUGAGGAACGAAAGCCAGGGGAGCAAAUGGGAUUAGAUACCCUAGUAGUC
This 440-nucleotide ribosomal RNA is filed under the name uncultured bacterium. Its description in RNAcentral is "partial 16S ribosomal RNA". It matches the Rfam family "Bacterial small subunit ribosomal RNA", at positions 338 to 795 of the family's 1533-position model. The record is from RNAcentral.